GAUGAAGAACGUAGCGAAAUGCGAUAAGUAAUGUGAAUUGCAGAAUCCAGUGAAUCAUCGAAUCUUUGAACGCACAUUGCGCCCGCCAGCAUUCUGGCGGGCAUGCCUGUUCGAGCGUCAUUUCAACCCUCGAUCUCCCUUUGGGGAAGUCGGCGUUGGGGACCGGCAGCACACCGCCGGCCCUGAAAUGGAGUGGCGGCCCGUCCGCGGCGACCUCUGCGUAGUAAACCAACUCGCACCGGAACCCCGACGUGGCCACGCCGUAAAACACCCAACUUCUGAACGUUGACCUCGAAUCAGGUAGGACUACCCGCUGAACUUAAGCAUAUCAAUAAGCGGAGGA
RNAcentral lists this unclassified non-coding RNA (343 nucleotides) under soil metagenome. RNAcentral describes it as "partial contains 5.8S ribosomal RNA, internal transcribed spacer 2, and large subunit ribosomal RNA". The stretch from base 1 to 120 matches the Rfam family "5.8S ribosomal RNA", at positions 35 to 154 of the family's 154-position model. The record is from RNAcentral.